This 253-nucleotide ribosomal RNA is filed under the name uncultured bacterium. Its description in RNAcentral is "partial 16S ribosomal RNA". It matches the Rfam family "Bacterial small subunit ribosomal RNA", at positions 524 to 776 of the family's 1533-position model. The record is from RNAcentral.
UACAGAGGUCUCAAGCGUUGUUCGGAUUCAUUGGGCGUAAAGGGUGCGUAGGUGGCGCCGUAAGUCGGGUGUGAAAUUUCGGAGCUUAACUCCGAAACUGCAUUCGAUACUGCGGUGCUUGAGGACUGGAGAGGAGACUGGAAUUCAUGGUGUAGCAGUGAAAUGCGUAGAGAUCAUGAGGAAGACCAGUGGCGAAGGCGGGUCUCUGGGCCGUAACUGACGCUGAGGAGCGAAAGCAUGGGGAGCAAACAGG